This is a long non-coding RNA of Toxorhynchites rutilus septentrionalis, 6468 nucleotides long. RefSeq lists it as uncharacterized. Lineage: Eukaryota; Metazoa; Arthropoda; Insecta; Diptera; Culicidae. The record is from RefSeq and is a predicted model, not a curated record. The transcript has 3 exons.
UUUUCCAAAUUUACGAAAAAUUGACAGUGAAGCUUGGCCAACGUGAUGUAUACACUAUUAUCUGAUUAUAAGCGAAGGCUGAAGACAUAAUUCCUAAGAAUUAAAUUUCUACAGCGUUUUUUCCGUGAUGCAAUUUGAUGUGACACACCCUUUAUAUUUCAACGUUAAAGUGAAAGUGAAUUAGCUAUUAUAAAAACAGAGAAGUAAAAAUCGGGAUUGUUGUAGAUUUUAGUUGAAGAUUCACCAGGAAUUGUUUAAAAUGUUAAUGAAACGAAAUUAAAAAAAGAUAGAAGUUGGGUGUCAAAGAGAGAGCUUUGAUUUGGCUGAUAGAAAUAUUCGAGAUUGUUAUGGUUUUGUUUGUAUAAAAUUAAGAAUAACACCUUCAAAAUCACUAAUUUUUAAGUUUUUCGCUUUUGAAAUAUUACUUAAAUCUUUCAAUUCAAAAGUUUUACAACUGUAUCCUGUAUAAAAUUUUCUCAUUUUUCAAAUGGAAGCAACAAAAUUGUCCUACAAUUUUUGAAUUAGAGUCAGUUUAAGGCAAACAGAGCCUUAUUAUUGAAUUUUUUUUUUACUCGAUUAUUUACAGUGAAAAGAAAUCGCAGAUUGUUUAUAAUAGAGUCCGUCAUGUACUACAUUAAUUCAAUUUAUGUGUCAUAUAAUAUUAAAUUUAACUGUAUCAGCCUGAUAUGCAUAUAUGAUUUCGUAUAGAUCGGUUUUACGAUAGUGUGUAUCAUAAAACCGAAACUUGUUACGCCGAAUUAAGACUUAAUUUGUAGUGAUAAAUAAAAUCGAAGUCUUCGCAUUUUAUACGAUUUGAAAUGUACAUAAUGUAUCCUUUGUUCGACGUUAUAUAUGAUUUUGAUUCGAUCUCUUUUCAUAUGCGACUUAGAAUAUGCCAAGUCAUGCGAUUCAAUGUUUGGUAGGCAGUUUGCUGAGGCAUAUGUAAACAUACUUAAGGAGUUCUGGACCAACUUUAUACGGAUGAGACGAAAACCAAUCUCUUUGAAUCGGAUGGAAGACAAAUGGUGUGAAGGAAACCAGGAUCGGUGCUCCAGGUUCAGCAGUUUGGUUAAUUGAACAUCUUGAAAAGUAACCUGCAGUCUUCCGUGCAGAAAUUGGGUCUUCCUCGUGAUUACUACUUUCAACAGGAUAAUGACUCAAAACAAGCUGGUCUCAUCGUGCGAGAGCGCCUGCUCUAUAAUGUCCCAAUCAACUCCAAACACCCCCGCAGUCACCGGACUUGAACACUAUUGAGCAUCUAUGGUGGGAAAUCAAGAAUCAAAGGGCCAUACCAAAAACGAGGGGAUUGAUUUUUGUUAUCGAUUAACAUUUCUGAACUGAUUUCAUUUUUUUUAAAGAGAGACUUGAACUGUACACUUAAUUUUGCUACGUCUGAAUUGAGGUGUUAAUGUUUGUUUUGUAAACACGAAGUAGAACUGUAUUCUUUUUUUUUAUUAUCACUACAUGAGAGUAAAAGGGUUCGAGUAUAUGAUGAAUAUAGGUUGUUUACAAUUAUUUAUUUUAUAAUCCCGGAAAACUCAAAAAUAACGAACCACCCAGGUGUGUACACUCAAUUUUGCGAUUGACUAUACAUGUUGCAUGAACAAUGAGUUUCAGCAUUUUAAAAACAAGAAAAAAAUUUAAUUUUGGUCAAACCAAGAUGUGUUGAAUGCCAUUUUCUCACGUGCAAAAAACUAUUUCAAAGACAAAUCGGAAGGGCUUUUUUCUAUCGAAGCAUGUCAGAGAACCUUCCUUGAUUAACACAGUAGCAAGCGGCCAGUUUGCCAGUGUACUUCACAUUUCCAGCAACUGGACAACUGGAAAAUGAAUAUCUAAACCCCGAAACAAUGAAAAAAAAAAAAAAGAUUUUGAAUACUUAUAAAUCGAGUAUUUUUCAAUGGUUCGCAAAGAUGUUUGCAUCAAUUGAUGGGAAAUAUUUCCACCAUGAACAAUUGAAUAAUUGUGAAAAGUCAAGCAUUAUCCAAGCGCACUAUGUUGUACGUUUUGAUUUGUCCAAUUUGUGUUCCUCAAAUGGUUCCAACCGAAUGGAUGGAAAAGAUGUAACAGCGGAAUAUAAUUUGAAUACAAGAAAACAUUGAAUCGUAAGCCACUCCCCUUGUGAUUCUACCGCCAAUCAAAUCAAAUAAAUUUGAUAGUUGCUUUCUGAAAAUAUCAUUCAUUUUCUAACCUCGAAGCAAAGCGGAUGUGCUGAUGAGCGUUCCAGCAUAGCAUAACCACGAAUAGCAAUAGCGGUAGCAAUGGCAGAAGCAGCAGUGUUAGCGGUCAACGAGUUUUUAUUUUGUUUCGUCACCCAUCGCUCUCAUGUAGUCGAUACAGCACACAGUGAUGAUACUGAUGCAAAAUUGCAUGUGACUGCCUCCAGAUUGUCUAGAAGAGUGCAAAAUAAGGAUACAAAUUUAGACAUAUGGCAUUGUGUUCUCGCGAAUCGCUUUUGGAUCUUCUGAGGGCCUCAAAAACUUUCAUAAAAGAGUUACUACAAUACAAUUCAAUGCAACGGUUCCAUGCAUUCUAACGAUAUAUCCGAAAUAACAGAAAAACAAACUGAUUUUUGUUUGCUUGGGGAGAGCUUGUGUGAAUUUGGCAGUAUUUUAGGAUGAAUCGAUUCCGAUCGAUCAUGAUAUUUCUUCGAAUUUGCGCCGGAAAAAAUGGUUAGACGUGACGUCGUUGGAGAUGCAAGUUUGCUAAUAAAGGUCAUACUCAAAAAAAUGAAAAGCCAAAAAUGAUCACCGCAAAUUUGAGGUGUUUCGAAACUCUCAGUGAAUAAAUAAAUACCAUCUUUUAUCAAACUCUGGUCGUUUUUGAAGACCUUCCCUGUUUUCCGGAACUUGCCCUCCAUAAUCGGUCAGAAUUUGUGUAUUGUGCGAAGUUCUGGCGAGUUUAACGGAUUUGCCGUUUUGGGCACAAAAAUAACAUCAUUGACUUCGUACUACUCCAUCACCGGUUCCGGGUAAUGGCACGAUGCCAGAUCCGGCCAAAACAGAGGGCCUCAUUCCCGUACACAUUUCGCGUUGAAAACGAGAUGAACGGCACGCCAUUGAACUACGUUUUACGAGUUAGUGAAGCAUCAAAGAUAAUAAUGGCUUUUCAGGCAGAAUGAACACCUUUUCAAAUAUAAAUUAUGAAUGAAACUUACCUUCUCCGCAUCAAAUUAGUGUGUAAUGUGAAUGGGAAACUUUGUUUUCUUCAUGUGGUAAAAUAGUCUAAAAAAAUUGUAUCUGAAGAUAAUUUCAUACUAGAAGAAUAAGUUUCAGUGGAAAACUGAAACUCUUGAACGAUUUUACCACACGGGAUACGGUCGAAUGCUUCAUUCCCAACUGUUUCGUGAUACACCUGGCCUGGGACUGACCUGGAUUUUCUACGAUCGCGCCCAUAACUUUUUGUCGUAGCACUUCUUGCUUGGAAGCCAUUUCGAUAUUCACUUGAAAGAUCGUGACGAAAUUUCGCAUAUGGAAACAUUACACUCUAAACUAGGUUUACCCAAAAUUUAAUAAUUUUUUACCAUGCAAUAAAAACAUAGAAUACUAAUUGAGAACGGUGAAGAUAAUUUUUAUUCAUGAUUUUUAUUUGUGUAGUGUGUUCAAUACAUCUGAAAAUCCACCAAUACAGAUGAAUAUAUGGCAACACUGGAGUUACCUAACAUUUGCAUUUCACACACAUGUAUAAUAUGACGCACUAAUUGCAAGCAGUUGUCAUUUUUCUAUUGGCAUCCAGUAGGCAGGCAGCAGUGGAAAACUUUCUAUUCGCUGGAGAGGCCAAUUACCUGUUCGAUAAUGGUACCAGUAACUGGAAUCGAGUGUUUACAUGGCUGUAGUAACUAGGCUCUAGUCACUGGAUACUACAACUGGAGCGCUGACUGGCAUUAUGUAAUUCAGGAAUAUGUAACGUGACAAGUAAGUUCUACGAGAAACAUUGUUUCUAGUAGAUCCAAAAUAAUAAUUUGUCUUAUUUUCUCCGAAUGCCAGCCUUGAUCAAAUCAACAAUUUUUCCCUUCAACCCUUUGAGGUACAGAAUUUUUGAAAAAAAAACAGUAAUGUUGCACAGAAUUUUUUUAAUCAUUCAAGAUUGAAAUAUUUGGUGUGUUCUCAUAUGAUGAUAAAUCGAAUAUAUUUCUGACAUUUGCUAAUGGUGUUGCCAACUACUUUAAAUAAGAAGGUUCCGAAAAAAAUAUGAGCACGCAGCUAUUCUAAUAUUUCUAGGUGGGUCAGAAAAUGUCCCACUAUGCGUUUUUACAAAUCAAAAAGGUAGAACAUUCUUAAUACCACCGUGCCCAAAGAGUUAGGGACUAACAAAAACCAUAAAAAUAUGAAUAUUCGAGUCGAUAAUAAAUUGAAAAAAGUUCAACCUUCAUCCGAACUGCGCCAGUUGACGAUACUCGAGAGUCGUUACUCACCACUUGCGGUUUGAACGGGGGAUCCAAUCCCCUCCUUUCCAGUUUAUGCCAGUCUAUACUAUCGAAGAACGGGUGGUAUUUGGGGUCACUCUCUUCUCCUAUCGUGUUUAGACAACCUAGCCGAAUUGAGGCGUCUUUCUCCAGCAGCUUAAAUUCAAAUCCGUGUUUAGAUAUUCAUCCCCAUGCAACACGACGCUACUUACCGACUGGAGCAAUUUGAGUGCCUCCUUCGACAGGAAAUGUGGAAACCAUGGAAUCUCGUUACAAAUCGACCAGAACAGUUCGUCCUCGUCACAACCACUGAAGGGUGAUUGUCCGACGAGCAUUUCGUACACCAGCACACCGAACGACCACCAAUCGACAGCUUGGUUGUACUUCUGACCCUGUUGAGGAUUCAGGAAAAUUAUCGUAAAAUCGUAGCCGAUUCCAAUCUAAACGCGAUGUCAGCUUACUUUAAUGAUUUCAGGCGCCAUGUAAUCCGGUGUACCACAAAAACUGUCUGCUAGCCGGUCCAAAUAAAUCUCCAGCUUACACAUACCGAAGUCGGCUAUCCUCACGUGACCAUCGUAGUCCAGCAGCACGUUGUCCAACUUUAAAUCGCUAGAGGUGAACAGACAUACAUUGAUUCAUUUCGAACCGCUGCGCGGUGUGAUGUGCAUUUCAGUUCUUACCGAUAGACAAUUCCCUUCCGGUGCAAGAACUUCAGCCCGGACAUGAUCUCGGCCGCAUAGAAUCGCGCCCGCCCUUCCGUGAAGCGACCGCUCUGCUGUAUGUGGAACAUCAAAUCACCACCGUUCAGGUACUCCAUCACGAAGAAUAAAUGGCUCUGGAAAGGAAACGGCAGAAAAUGUUCUACUCUGCGCAUGUAAUCGGUCACAUGUACAUAAGCCAAUGAAAACAUGGCUAGGCUAGAUGCCCAGAUUAGCGACAACUGUCUUUGGCGUGCCGAUGAAUAGUAAACCAAAGCAAGUAGAGGUAUACGACUAGGUGAGUCAAUACGUCAAUACAGCUCUACUACCAUCUUGAAAAUCUACUGUACUUGUAAACAAUCGAUCGACCGACCUAUGACCGAUCGAACUACUCAACGUAAAGGAGUAGGUCAGUUGCCAAGAGUUUCAAGCUACGUUCCACUCGUUAAACGCCAAUGCUGCCAUGGAGGUUACGACCUCUCACCGAAACUGAGAAAUCACCAAGUUAUACCAGCUUCCGAUCGUCGUUAGCCCACAUCAUCUCGCUGAUGCUCAAACAAUUCACACGAUGACCCUGAGACCCGCAGAACCACCCCUGCACGGUCAUAGUUAAGACCUGGGAGCUUAGGCUACUUUCCUAGCUGGAACCAGUAAAUUUCGUCCUAAGGCUAAGAGCAGCCGCAUUGAAAAGUAAAUCGUAAUACAACAAUACAAUAAACUAUCAAACAGAGUAUUAUGUGUGAGGUACUCGGAAACGAUCGGCCAAACGUUAACAAAUCGAAUGUUUCGAAUGCUCUUCUCAAAGAUAUUCCGGAGUUUUCAUCGAAAGACGCGACGUUCACGAUAAUAAUGAGUAAGCAUCGCAAGAGCUAUUUUAUUCUGGGUGUUAUAGCUAUAAAAGCUAUCAUGACGGCUUUUUCUAGUUGACAUACAUGCGAUCGUUUGUUCCAACACCAACAUUACGCCACAUUUCCAAUUAACAAAACAUUAAAGCCGCUAAAUAGUAAACAUUUCACACUACACAAAAAACAACAAUGUGUGCGUAUGAUGCAAAAAUACACAAGCGCUCUCCACCAGACGGCAUGAAAACGCUUCAUCGAGUUCUGUUCUGGAUUUGAAGUUGCGAACAAGUUAGCACCACGAUUCAUUCACGAAAUAACACACUAUGGAUUCUUUAAAGUCUAUUUGGACGUUGCAGCAAUGAAACCGAUAUCGAACUGGAGAACCCUCGGUAGCUCGGAUAAUUUUCAGAAUUAGCAGUAGUUAACAACGUGUGAACUCAGUAUCAAGGACUAUUUAGACAAUAUCAGCUAUUGAUAUGCCAGUUGAACUGAUGCCGAACCGAAGGAAUAUAUAAAUUAUCAACAU